UUUCCGUAGGUGAACCUGCGGAAGGAUCAUUAAUAAAAAUGUCCUUUGACAAACUUUGCGCCGGUCCGCCGGACAGAGUUCAACCUUUUGUGAAUCAACACCUUUUUUCGCUUCGGCAGCCGGUUGGGCCUUGUGUCCGGCUGUCAGCCUGCCGGCAGCACCAAUUUAAACUUGCAUUUAAGAAUUAUGUCUGAAACCAUUCUAAAUCUGAAUGAAAAUUAAAACUUUCAACAACGGAUCUCUUGGUUCUCGCAUCGAUGAAGAACGCAGCGAAACGCGAUAGUUAAUGUGAAUUGCAGAAUUCAGUGAAUCAUCGAGUCUUUGAACGCACAUUGCGCCCAUUGGUAUUCCGAUGGGCACGUCUGUUUGAGCGUCAUUGCGACCCCUCAGCUAAGCUUUUGCAGCGCUGGUGUUGGGCUCGGGCAUCCUUAGUUGGAACCCGGCCUUAAAGUUGCACGCUCUGCGGACCCUCCCGCCUCCAGAACAUAGUAUGACUGCUAGCUGUUUGAAAGGUGUGUUGGGCUUCCGCCUGAACAAACUCUCAACUAAGGUUUGACCUCAGAUCAGACGAGGAUACCCGCUGAACUUAAGCAUAUCAAUAAGCGGAGGAAAAGAAACCAACAGGGAUUGCCUCAGUAACGGCGAGUGAAGCGGCAAGAGCUCAAAUUUGAAAUCUGGCGUCUUUGGUGCCCGAGUUGUAAUUUGAAGAGGAUGCCUCGGUUGUAGCCCCGGCCUAAGUUUCUUGGAACAGGACGUCGCAGAGGGUGAGAAUCCCGUACGCGGCUGAAGGCUUACUUCCAUGUGUGGCUCCCUCGAAGAGUCGAGUUGUUUGGGAAUGCAGCUCAAAAUGGGUGGUAAAUUUCAUCUAAAGCUAAAUACUGGCGAGAGACCGAUAGCGCACAAGUAGAGUGAUCGAAAGAUGAAAAGCACUUUGAAAAGAGAGUUAAACAGUACGUGAAAUUGUUGAAAGGGAAGCGCUUGCAAUCAGACUCGCUUUCGGUUGAUCAACGUUCCUUUUGGUUCGUGCACUCUUCCGUUUGCGGGCCAGCAUCGGUUAGGACGGCGGGACAAAGGCUCCGGGAAUGUGGCCCUUCGGGGUGUUAUAGCCCGGUGCGCAAUGCCGCCUGCCCUGACCGAGGUCCGCGCUUCUGCUAGGAUGCUGGCUUAAUGGUUGUAAGCGACCCGUCUUGAAACACGGACCAAGGAGUCUAACAUCUAUGCGAGUUUUUGGGUGUAAAACCCAUGAGCGCAAUGAAAGUGAACGGAGGUGGGAGCCUUAGGGUGCACCAUCGACCGAUCCUGAUGUUCUCGGAUGGAUUUGAGUAUGAGCAUAGCUGUUGGGACCCGAAAGAUGGUGAACUAUGCCUGAAUAGGGUGAAGCCAGAGGAAACUCUGGUGGAGGCUCGCAGCGGUUCUGACGUGCAAAUCGAUCGUCAAAUUUGGGUAUAGGGGCGAAAGACUAAUCGAACCAUCUAGUAGCUGGUUCCUGCCGA
This 1493-nucleotide ribosomal RNA is filed under the name Orbilia eucalypti. RNAcentral's name for it is "eukaryotic LSU rRNA". The stretch from base 554 to 1493 matches the Rfam family "Eukaryotic large subunit ribosomal RNA", at positions 1 to 964 of the family's 3401-position model. Lineage: Eukaryota; Fungi; Ascomycota; Orbiliomycetes; Orbiliales; Orbiliaceae. The record is from RNAcentral.